Molecule: small nucleolar RNA, 98 nt
Organism: Pteropus vampyrus (large flying fox)
Lineage: Eukaryota; Metazoa; Chordata; Mammalia; Chiroptera; Pteropodidae
Source: Ensembl
AUCCUUUUGUAGUUCAUGAUGAUUGGGUGUUCAUGCCGUUGUGUGAGAUGUACCUCCCUCAAACCUUGUUACAACAUCGGCACAUUACCUGUUUGACA